GAUGAUGAAGCAUUGGAGAUCUCUGAUGAUGAUAUAGAAGAUUGGUAGACUAAUUGUUCAGUUUGCAGACCUUCCUAUUAGACAGUUAUUCGCUCUUUUUAUCUCCAGUGUUGAUUAAGGCUGAAGCUUUUCUCUUAGGGAAUGGGAAGUUUUUUGUGAAUAUAGGAGUUUUUUGUAAUUGGUGCUCUCAGAUGUUGAUGUAGUCAUUGGUUUGUAAUUGGCUG
Molecule: long non-coding RNA, 224 nt
Filed under: Trifolium pratense (red clover)
Lineage: Eukaryota; Viridiplantae; Streptophyta; Magnoliopsida; Fabales; Fabaceae
Description: long non-coding RNA (TPRA_LNC002217)
Source: RNAcentral